Long non-coding RNA from Lonchura striata (white-rumped munia), 218 nucleotides. RefSeq lists it as uncharacterized. NCBI's taxonomy places the organism in Eukaryota, Metazoa, Chordata, Aves, Passeriformes, Estrildidae. The record is from RefSeq and is a predicted model, not a curated record.
CUGCAUUGGGAUCAGGCAAGAGAUGUAGAGACCUCACCCCCUCCCAAAGGAGUGCUUGCUGGGAGUCUCCCUAGGGAUUGGCCCACUCCCAGAGAGGAGGGAGCACCAGGAGAGAUGUCUCUGCAGCACACACAUGACAAGCCCUGUGCUAUCAUAAAUACCAGACUAUUUCUGCUGGAGACAUAUCCCCAUCACAGAAUUAAAGGAGGUAGAAGAGA